Homo sapiens (human) is the source of this 61-nucleotide microRNA precursor. The record is from Ensembl. Lineage: Eukaryota; Metazoa; Chordata; Mammalia; Primates; Hominidae.
ACAUCAGCUCAUAUAAUCCUCGAAGCUGCCUUUAGAAAUGAGGAAACUGAAGCUGAGAGGG